UCCGUUGGGGUGCCGAGAGGCUGAGAGGCGUGGUUCGCGCCAACCCAUCGUACCUGAUCCGGGUAAUGCCGGCGAAGGGAACGG
RNAcentral lists this non-coding RNA (84 nucleotides) under uncultured Allobosea sp. RNAcentral's name for it is "TPP riboswitch (THI element)". It matches the Rfam family "TPP riboswitch aptamer (THI element)", at positions 7 to 92 of the family's 105-position model. Rfam says of the family: Vitamin B(1) in its active form thiamin pyrophosphate (TPP) is an essential coenzyme that is synthesised by coupling of pyrimidine and thiazole moieties in bacteria. The previously detected thiamin-regulatory element, thi box was extended, resulting in a new, highly conserved RNA secondary structure, the THI element, which is widely distributed in eubacteria and also occurs in some archaea. Analysis of operon structures identified a large number of new candidate thiamin-regulated genes, mostly transporters, in various prokaryotic organisms. The record is from RNAcentral. Lineage: Bacteria; Pseudomonadati; Pseudomonadota; Alphaproteobacteria; Hyphomicrobiales; Alloboseaceae.